CUAAGGUAUGUCAUUCGAUUUGAACAGGGUCACAUCUUCAUGAAAACCGGAAUAGGCAACCCCAUGGGAAACACAACAACUUCAAAUGGUGGAGGUGAUUUUGGGAAAACGAACUCAAGCUCUAUUGGGUUUGGCGCCUUUGCAGGAAGUGCUUCAAACUCGAGUGGUACUGACACAUUUACCACAUCGUCCUCAGAGGGCUGGAUCUGAACAACAAUGAGAUUGAGGGUAACUGCGAGCUUCUUAGGUUCUUCUACUUCAGCAAUUAAUCCAAUCGACCCUUUGGCGUCCUAAUCAUCCUCAAUCUCGGUCACAUGGAUGCCCCCGCCCUUGUUGUUAGGCAGAGGGUUGUUGCGGACAUUGGGAGUGGGCUCAUUUGCUAUAAUAAUCUUGUUAUCAAUCAAAGUCUGAAUCUUGUCUUUCAACUAGCGAUACUUGUUGAUGGUAUGUCCUUUCAUUCCGGAAUGGUAUGCGCAGGUUUUGUUGGGGUUGAUCCAUGGGGAAGAUUUUAUGGGGUUAUGGCUGGGAUAGGUGAAACUUAACAGGCUGCUUUGAGGUUUUC
Molecule: long non-coding RNA, 562 nt
Filed under: Nicotiana benthamiana
Lineage: Eukaryota; Viridiplantae; Streptophyta; Magnoliopsida; Solanales; Solanaceae
Description: long non-coding RNA (NBEN_LNC010354)
Source: RNAcentral